RNAcentral lists this ribosomal RNA (253 nucleotides) under uncultured bacterium. Its description in RNAcentral is "partial 16S ribosomal RNA". It matches the Rfam family "Bacterial small subunit ribosomal RNA", at positions 524 to 776 of the family's 1533-position model. The record is from RNAcentral.
UACGGAGGGUGCAAGCGUUAUCCGGAUUCACUGGGUUUAAAGGGUGUGUAGGCGGGUAAUUAAGUCAGUGGUGAAAUCUCCAGGCUCAACCUGGAAACUGCCAUUGAUACUAUUUAUCUUGAAUCUUGUUGAGGUAGGCGGAAUAUGUCAUGUAGCGGUGAAAUGCUUAGAUAUGACAUAGAACACCGAUUGCGAAGGCAGCUUACUAAGCAAGGAUUGACGCUGAGGCACGAAAGCGUGGGGAUCAAACAGG